UUAAAUGCAAAAUUUGUUUUUUCUUUUAAGUUUGUUUACAGUUACAUACAAAAUUAUGUCACAUUGAAAUUAAUUUGAAUUGAAAGUUUAAUUAUGAAAAACGACUCUAAGAAAGUUGAAAAAUAAUGUUUCUGUCCCUACCCAGAUUUAGCUAAACCAUGAGGUUGAGCGCACUAUUCAUCGACCCAACACUUCUAACCCUAACUUCAAGGAGUUAGGGUUUGACUACAAAGUUAGAAGAAAGAAGCCACACAAGACUGCUCACUUCUGACACCAACUGCAGUCCAUGGUGUCUUGAAAAUCAGCAGCCCACAAUCAUGAUGAAAACCUGCAGCCUGACAGAUACUGGAGGAGCCAGAAGAAGGAAUGUAACUUUACUUGGGUGGCGUCUAUUUUGAGAAUAAUCAGCCCUGGAGAAAUAAGUGUCCUGAUUGACUGACCGCUGUCACAAGGAGAGGGUCGUAAAUUGUCAGCAGGCCCCCCUGGCCAGAAGAUGAUGUAACACCCCUAAGACCUCUGUAUACAUUUGUGUGAAGCACCUGACUUUAAUAAAAGUCAGGACUGCUGUCCCCACGUGACUUUUGUAUAACAUCUUAGUGUAUAAAAACAGACUCUGGAAAAUAAAGAAUUGGGAUCAGUUUCUCAAAAUACUGGUCUCCCCAUGUCUCUCUCUCCCUCCGGC
Bos taurus (domestic cattle) is the source of this 682-nucleotide long non-coding RNA. The record is from Ensembl. Lineage: Eukaryota; Metazoa; Chordata; Mammalia; Artiodactyla; Bovidae.